UGACAACUUGGUUGUUUGGCUGUUAAGUAAAUGGAUACACAGAGUUUGUUUCAAAAAUAACAAGGCCUAUUUUAUCCAACUGAAGUCCAACCGCUGUACGAAGAGCCAGACGUCUGCCACAAAUCUGUACGUAUGGAUUUUGAACACACAGCAGAACAUAAAGCAACAUCGCAUAAAUCUAACCCAUCUAAAAGCAAUGAGUCCAGGGUGACAUUCAAGGAAAGGUCAUGAAGAGUCUAUUGUCUGUGUUGAACACUACACCAGUGAGGACAAGAUAAAAGAUGCACAAACCUAACAGAGAAUCAUUGUCUAAGACCAACUCCCGGAGAUUUCUUCGUAGGAACAGUUUAUUCCAAAUGAGGAUUCUUUGGUUUCACACAAGAUAUCGAAUGAGCUUACCUAUGAUCCUCCGGUGAUUUCGAUCGAUG
Molecule: long non-coding RNA, 428 nt
Organism: Asterias rubens (European starfish)
Lineage: Eukaryota; Metazoa; Echinodermata; Asteroidea; Forcipulatida; Asteriidae
Exons: 3
Source: RefSeq, a predicted model, not a curated record